CUCCCUGUGGCUCAGUUGGUAGAGCAUGGUGUUUGCAACGCCAGGGUUGGGGGUUCGUUUCCCACGGGGGGC
Molecule: non-coding RNA, 72 nt
Organism: Salmo salar (Atlantic salmon)
Lineage: Eukaryota; Metazoa; Chordata; Actinopteri; Salmoniformes; Salmonidae
Source: Rfam